Molecule: long non-coding RNA, 1922 nt
Filed under: Theobroma cacao (cacao)
Lineage: Eukaryota; Viridiplantae; Streptophyta; Magnoliopsida; Malvales; Malvaceae
Description: long non-coding RNA (TCAC_LNC001866)
Source: RNAcentral
UUUUUUUAUAAAAUAAUUUUUAUAGAGUUAUCUGUAAGGAAUUUUUGUAGUGUAAAAGUGAAAUAAAUUCAUACAUACUGUAAUACAGAUAGUCAAGGUAUGCAAUUAAAUUUACAAUGACACGUGGGUCCCAAAAUGACAAAAGUGAACGAAGGAUGUGAACCUACGAUUUUUGAGGAAGUAAAGCCAACUGUAGCCUUCGACGAUAUCAGCUAUCUACAAACUAUCCUGAGCCUGAAAUGGGUGGAAAGGAGGGUGAUGAGAUUAUAUAAUCCCAGUGAGUAAACAAAUAUCAUCUAAAAUAUCUAAAGUCGAGUAAAUGGAGACGAUUAAAAUAGAUCAUCAUAAGAUGGUUCAUAACAUCAAAACACAUUUCAAAUCAUCUAAACCAGUUACGUUUCAUCCAAAAUAUACAAUGAGGCUUAUGAAUCUCUUAAAAACUUGGCUCAUGCCAAAACUCAUUCUCGGGGAUACCUUGGUCGAGGCAUCUAACCGAGUCCACCAAGGUUGUUAAAAAGUCAUAUAUGCACAAAACACAUUUUUACAUUUAAAAGCACGGUUGUUCCUUGGCAUUGGCUGAAUUCACUUUCAUGUGGUGGUUCGGCGUGAAGUAAACUCUAAACUUUACCCCAGGAGAUACCCUAUGCGCCUCUCCGACUGAGGUAAGAAUAUAACCGGAUUUUGUGCCCCUCUAAUAGGCUGGCCCACAAAACCUGCCACUGUAAUGACCAAUCUAUAACCACAAAUUCAAUAAAAAUUCAACAGCAUGACAUGGCAAUUUUAGCAUUAUCUAGCCUAUCAAGGCAAACAACAGUUUAUACAUUUUCAACACAAUACCCAUCCAGCCAUUCAUGCCCACAUUAUCAUAAGCCAUUCAAUUCAAAACAUAAUUUACAAUACAGCAAGUAGUCUCCAAUUACUCCAUUUCCAAGUCAUCAUUAAAUUUCAAAACAAUUUAUAACAUCAUUUCAUUUAAACACAUUUUCCAUAAAAUUACAAAAUCAGAUAAAAACAUACUUUAGAUAAUUAAGACGAUAAUAAGGUCAUUCACAAUAUUGGGAAUCGAAGUACUCCUAGUCCCGGUCUUCGGGUACAACUUCUUUGCCUUUAUCGGAGGAUUCACCACCCAAACGUAAUGCAUAAUCAAGAAAUUUACCACAUUGGUGCUAAACCGUUAUAAAACUAAUCUAGGCUCUAUAUGAAUGCAUGAAAUGGAAUGUGAAUUAUUUGGAUCAUCGUCUAAACACGGUGUUUUACAUAAAUUCAAUUGUGUACCUAAAUAAAAUGGUAUUGGCCUAAUUCGAUCUAUCACCCAAUUAAUUGGCCAGUAUGUCCAAUUUAACUCCAAAUAACUCCAUUUCCCUCCCAAUACUCCAAAUCAUCAAACUCAAGUCAAGUAACAUAAAAUUUAGCAAGAUCAUCUUCACAUUUCUUCUUGGGAAUUUCGACCAUGGUGGGUGCAUGAACACUAUGGUUUUUCCCACUUGAUUUUUACACCAUAAAUCAUUAAUUUCUAACCAAAUCACUUGAAAUAAAAUCAAGUCCACCAUCAACACACCAUAGGGAAGAUUCGGCCAAUGGAGGGUGAUGGAAGAAAAUGAAUUUUUCUUGUUUGCUUUUCAUGCAACACAUCACUAACUAACUAAAAACACUAGAAUAUAUUGAAAUCUAACCAAAUUAACCAUCAAAACCUCUCUCUAUAUGUUCAGCCAGCAAGAGAUCCAUCAUAUAAUCAUGAAUUUCAACCAUGAAAAUAAGAAAGAAUGCUUAGGAAAGAUAGAUCUCAAGCUAUAAUUGAAAAAUCUUACCUUUUGUCACUUGAUUCUUUAAAAUUUUGUGAAUUUCUCUUGAAUUUCUUAACUAGGGUUUUGUUCUUCUUCUUUUCUUCCCUUUUCUUCCUUUGGCCGACCAAGAGAAAUGAG